RNAcentral lists this ribosomal RNA (116 nucleotides) under Salmonella enterica subsp. enterica serovar Typhimurium. Lineage: Bacteria; Pseudomonadati; Pseudomonadota; Gammaproteobacteria; Enterobacterales; Enterobacteriaceae. The record is from RNAcentral.
CCUGGCGGCCGUAGCGCGGUGGUCCCACCUGACCGCAUGCCGAACUCAGAAGUGAAACGCCGUAGCGCCGAUGGUAGUGUGGGGUCUCCCCAUGCGAGAGUAGGGAACUGCCAGGC